Molecule: small RNA, 693 nt
Filed under: Drosophila pseudoobscura pseudoobscura
Lineage: Eukaryota; Metazoa; Arthropoda; Insecta; Diptera; Drosophilidae
Description: GA31146
Source: RNAcentral
UGUCGUUGAUCUGAUGGGUAAUUACCUUUGAAAGACAGGAAAAACAGGCACCGAGCACCGCAUCUUGGCCUGGUAGCGGCCUUCUUCGGUGUUGGGCCACCAGAUUUCGUCCUUUUUCAACCAAUGGUCUAUAUCUGUAAAGAGUAGGAACACGAGCCAUGUGAAAGAUUCCCGAAAUCAGUCCCUUUGAUGUAGAAGGCCCCACGGAUGAUCGGGAAUACUGUUUCAUAUGCGCUUUGAUCCGUUUGUUAGAUCUACAUUAAAAUUUGUAAAGAAUUUUCCAGAUCAAGUAGGCCGAGAAUUGGGCUAACAUUUUCAGGAACAUUGCAGGACCAUGCAGGAGCGCACUAGCAUGCCAGAUAUGAAGAAACCUGUGGAGUAGAAAAUGAAUAAUGAGUAAGACCAUGCAGACGAUAAAUAUUAAAUGAAAAGACUGAAAAAAUUCGCAUAAAUUGUAUGCAAUAUCAUUUAGAAAUGUUUAAUUCGCAAGCACGAGUUUUUUUGAGAGCCAUAGUCCGAAGUUAAGCGCAUUAAAGAUAAUUGAAAUUUAUAUUAUGUAAAUUGCCAGUAGCGGGAAAAGUAAAAGUGGCAAAUGGGUGCAAAAACUGUUUCCCAAGAAUACAAAAAAAAGGAAAGCAAAAAAUGUAAAACAAUAAACAAAUUAAGUGCGUGACCCUCACAGAAUAUCUCGUA